CUCUGCUGCUUCUCAACUCGACUUAGAGAAAGAUGCAACAGCAAGAAAGAGUCUGAAGACCCAGCCAAGACAAUCUAUGGCUGGACUCCCUGAUGGAUAUAUCCACAUUUUAAGCACCUGUGACUCCAUGAUCUCAAUAUCAAUGUAUUUCCAAGCAGAUUGCCUCUCUACAACAUUCUCAUACCAUGAAGUUACAAGUUCAAGUGUCUCUUUUUACAUUAUAGAAGAAAAAUAAGAACAAACAGGGAAAGGAAAGCUAUUAAUUAGGAAACUGAAAAUGUGGUCCUGCAGUUGAAUGCAGCAGCUGGAAUAUUUAGAUGUUUUACACAAUCACCACAAAAUAAGGUAUACAGCUUUAAUCAGGGGAAAGGAAACUAAGUUUGGCACAAGUGACCCAACAAUUCCCCAGUGCCUGAAUAAUCAAACAGUGCCUGUCCUAGCAAGUUCUGCUUAGUGCAAGGUGGCCUCAUCGUGCCCUCCUCCGCUGAGAGCCUUGAGUUACUGUGUUUAGACUGAGAAUUACUAUCAGUUUGAAAAUAAAAGACAUCAACUAGGAACUUGUGUCUGUCCAGGCACUUGUACCUCAUACCAGUCUCUCGACAGUUUUAGAAAGCAUCUGUUAAUUUAUUUCAUAUAUAUGUAUUUACAUUGGAGGAAAUGCACAACACUGAAAAUACAACAUUUACACGUUCCCAGCUACACAGUUUGCACUCUCUCCCCUGUUAGGACCAGGCACUCGGCUCCUCCAGCUGUGCAGUGAUGACAACAUCAAUUCUGAGCAGCUCAACUGAAUUUAUGCAGUUUCUUACCUUUGAAUAAGAAGUGGGAGUAAUACUUGAAGGUGUUGUACGACUGCUGCAUCAGACCAAAGUUGGGAUGCACAGCCAUUUGCUUCCCUGCAUCGAAGCUCCACGACUGAGAGAUCAGCUGGCUGCGGAACUUCAAAAUCAGGCUGAAGAUGCUGUGUAUGAUGUUCAUCACAGGGGCUGCCUUCUCUGUUAACAGACCCCUAACGGAAUAACAACAACAAGGUUGCCUACCGAAGACAGUUUGUUUCCAAAUUCACACCAUGUAACAUGAAGAAUCUGAUUAGCAAUGUAACCUUGAAUAACUUUCACAAAAUGCUGCAUUUCAUGUUUAUACAGCUGGAGCUGUCGAAACUGAACAGAAUUGGAUGCCCGGCUCACUAAAGCUGAGAACAAAACCAGAAACACAUCAUUAUAAGCGCCCACAGAGACUGACUGAAAUCAGGAUUUUUCAAGGAAAGAAGGUUUCUGUUAGUGGAGUCUGUUUAAAAUGCCAAGGGAGUUUCUUAAACAAGCUUUUGAAGAUCAACAUGAGUGUUUAAAAGCAAUUGUCUAGCAGAGGGUGCUACAAGCUAAAAGCGUUUCAAGUGGGUCGCUCUCUAUUUAACUCCUUCUCCUUACCAGUGCGCUUCAAGUGAAACCAAACAUCCUUCAGAGUCCACACCAUGUGCUUCAGCUGAAGCAGAAAGGAGAAGAUCUUGUUGUAUUUAUUCAUGCAGCUCUCAGUAAUGACAAUGUUCAGAGGCCAGUCAACCUACAAGGAACAACACUGCUGAUGACACUACAUCUUUGUUAGCAAUGACAAGAACUUGUCAGUUUUUUGAUGACACUACAAUUUUGCUAGCAAUGACACAAGCACUUCAGGCUCAUGCAAACUCAGCUCUGUAUUCUAACAGCGUAAUGCAAUGGCCAGGCCAAGUAAAUCCUGGAAUUUCCAUCACACAAUUCUUUGACUCAGUUCUGACAGGUAUUCCAUUACUAAGAACAUAUUCACUCUACCACUGUACAUAAGAAUCAAGGUAUAAUUGCAGUACUGUACCUUUCUCCAUGCUUUCUUACCUUGUACCUUAGCUCUAAGCAACUCAGAGCAUCAGGUGCAUUGGGCUUGAACACUUCUGGAAGAUACUUGAGGGCAAAAGAAAGAUUGGAAGCAAGCUGGGUGUCACCAUGAAGACUGUACUGUAAUGCUUUAUUUAGGAUAGAAUUAAGAACCAGUGGAUUCAGCAAUUCACCAGGUGUUUGUCCUGAUCCAAGCUAGGAGUAAAAAAAUAAACAAAAUCCUAAUUACAGAGCUUUAAUAAGUAGUCUUGGCUCCUGAACACAGCUGAAUUAUUAUCCUGCCUUGCUCCACCAUUCUGAUUGGAAGUUUCUGCUUCUGCCAUAGGGAUACAUAAACAGACUUAUUUGGAUAUGCUGGACUGCAGUCUGCUGUGGCUGAGGAGCUGCUACAUAUCCCUGCUGCAGGGAAUACAGCCUUUAGGCUUCAGCAAGGCAGAAAACCAGCAACAGGGCUGGCAUUCUCCACCUGACUCCUACCUGCCUGCCUCAUGAACUCAGCAUCCUCACAGCUUUAAAAGCAAAGCUAUUUGUUGUGUCUAAAUCCCCAAGUCUUUCUUUAACUGAGCCUAAAGCAUUCUUAGAUCCAGAGAAAUACAUUAACUAACUUACAGCCACGUACCUCCACUGGCAACCAGCUAUAUUAACCCAGGCUAUCCCUCCCACCUUGCUAUCUUCUCCACAGAGGGGUAAGUAAUGAAAAUAGUUGUCUCAUCAGAGGGCCCAGCACACUCUUCAGAUGCACACUCCUCUCUUUUGCAGGGUAUUUGGGGUAAGAGUAGCUAUUUUGCCACGCAGGCCUUUCCACUGGAUUUCAGCAACAGACAACAGUCUCUUCCAGGCUUGUUGCCAGCGGAGGGGAGGAGAGAGGGCAAGGGUGCAGCAACUUUCACAGGGGAGAGCGAAAUCACCUUCUAUGACUGCUCAUCUGGUUCUUCUGUCUAAAACAAACAAACAAAAGGACAAAUUUUAUGAGAGAUGCUGGCUUUGUCUAC
This is a long non-coding RNA of Colius striatus (speckled mousebird), 2857 nucleotides long. RefSeq lists it as uncharacterized. The record is from RefSeq and is a predicted model, not a curated record. NCBI's taxonomy places the organism in Eukaryota, Metazoa, Chordata, Aves, Coliiformes, Coliidae. The transcript is spliced from 4 exons.